UGGGGAAUAUUGGACAAUGGGCGAAAGCCUGAUCCAGCCAUGCCGCGUGAGUGACGAAGGCCUUAGGGUUGUAAAGCUCUUUUGGCGGGGAAGAUAAUGACGGUACCCGCAGAAUAAGCUCCGGCUAACUUCGUGCCAGCAGCCGCGGUAAUACGAAGGGAGCUAGCGUUGUUCGGAAUCACUGGGCGUAAAGCGCACGUAGGCGGAUUUGUCAGUCAGGGGUGAAAUCCCGGGGCUCAACCUCGGAACUGCCCUUGAUACAGCAAGUCUUGAGUUCGAAAGAGGUGGGUGGAAUUCCUAGUGUAGAGGUGAAAUUCGUAGAUAUUAGGAAGAACACCGGUGGCGAAGGCGGCCCACUGGCUCGAUACUGACGCUGAGGUGCGAAAGCGUGGGGAGCAAACAGGAUUAGAUACCCCCGUAGUCCCUGAGCGGGCUGGCAAGGCGCAU
Molecule: ribosomal RNA, 447 nt
Filed under: uncultured bacterium
Lineage: Bacteria
Description: bacterial SSU rRNA
Rfam family: Bacterial small subunit ribosomal RNA
Source: RNAcentral